Molecule: ribosomal RNA, 980 nt
Filed under: Helicobacter pylori
Lineage: Bacteria; Pseudomonadati; Campylobacterota; Epsilonproteobacteria; Campylobacterales; Helicobacteraceae
Description: bacterial SSU rRNA
Rfam family: Bacterial small subunit ribosomal RNA
Source: RNAcentral
GAAGCUUCUAGCUUGCUAGAGUGCUGAUUAGUGGCGCACGGGUGAGUAACGCAUAGGUCAUGUGCCUCUUAGUUUGGGAUAGCCAUUGGAAACGAUGAUUAAUACCAGAUACUCCCUACGGGGGAAAGAUUUAUCGCUAAGAGAUCAGCCUAUGUCCUAUCAGCUUGUUGGUAAGGUAAUGGCUUACCAAGGCUAUGACGGGUAUCCGGCCUGAGAGGGUGAACGGACACACUGGAACUGAGACACGGUCCAGACUCCUACGGGAGGCAGCAGUAGGGAAUAUUGCUCAAUGGGGGAAACCCUGAAGCAGCAACGCCGCGUGGAGGAUGAAGGUUUUAGGAUUGUAAACUCCUUUUGUUAGAGAAGAUAAUGACGGUAUCUAACGAAUAAGCACCGGCUAACUCCGUGCCAGCAGCCGCGGUAAUACGGAGGGUGCAAGCGUUACUCGGAAUCACUGGGCGUAAAGAGCGCGUAGGCGGGAUAGUCAGUCAGGUGUGAAAUCCUAUGGCUUAACCAUAGAACUGCAUUUGAAACUACUAUUCUAGAGUGUGGGAGAGGUAGGUGGAAUUCUUGGUGUAGGGGUAAAAUCCGUAGAGAUCAAGAGGAAUACUCAUUGCGAAGGCGACCUGCUGGAACAUUACUGACGCUGAUUGCGCGAAAGCGUGGGGAGCAAACAGGAUUAGAUACCCUGGUAGUCCACGCCCUAAACGAUGGAUGCUAGUUGUUGGAGGGCUUAGUCUCUCCAGUAAUGCAGCUAACGCAUUAAGCAUCCCGCCUGGGGAGUACGGUCGCAAGAUUAAAACUCAAAGGAAUAGACGGGGACCCGCACAAGCGGUGGAGCAUGUGGUUUAAUUCGAAGAUACACGAAGAACCUUACCUAGGCUUGACAUUGAGAGAAUCCGCUAGAAAUAGUGGAGUGUCUAGCUUGCUAGACCUUGAAAACAGGUGCUGCACGGCUGUCGUCAGCUCGUGUCGUGAGA